AUUGAACGCUGGCGGCAUGCCUAACACAUGCAAGUCGAACGAGCGGCGGACGGGUGAGCAAUGUCUGGGAACCUGCCUGAUGGAGGGGGAUAACUAUUGGAAACGGUAGCUAAUACCGCUUACCAUCAGAUGUGCCCAGAUGGGAUUUGCUUGUUGGUGGGGUAAAGGCGCACCCAGGCGACGACCCCUAGCUGUUCUGAGAGUAUGACCGGCAACACUGGAACGGAGCAACGGUCCAGACGCCUCCGGAGGGAAGCAGUGGGGAAUAUUGGACAAUGGGGGCAAGCUUGACGCAGCCAUGCCGCGUGUAUGAAGAAGGCCUUGGGUUUGUAAAGUACUUUCAGCGGGGAGGCGUUAACCGCAGAAGAAGCGCCGGCUAACUCCGUGCCAGCCGCCGCGGUAAUUC
This 406-nucleotide ribosomal RNA is filed under the name uncultured bacterium. RNAcentral describes it as "partial 16S ribosomal RNA". It matches the Rfam family "Bacterial small subunit ribosomal RNA", at positions 30 to 526 of the family's 1533-position model. The record is from RNAcentral.